Molecule: RNA transcript, 2613 nt
Organism: Grammomys surdaster
Lineage: Eukaryota; Metazoa; Chordata; Mammalia; Rodentia; Muridae
Gene: Riox1
Gene name: ribosomal oxygenase 1
Exons: 3
Source: RefSeq, a predicted model, not a curated record
GAGGAAUGAAGUUGUUUUCUUCUGAGUUGCCCUGUGCCUUGUUUUCUUACAUGGAACCUUUAUCUGGUAGGGAAUUUUGCCUUUCCAGUGUCUAUUACCGCGGUUUAAAAAGGUGACAAACAGGGCUAGCGGUAGGACCCAGGAGGACCGUCGGCUUGGCGGACCUAGGGAAUGCUGGAGGACUCGGCCCCUUCCCAGAAAGCACCACGGCUGCGGAAGCGUGGGUCUUGGCCGCCCCACCAUGGAUGCGCUUUCGAAUGGCAACGGCGCGGCGCUGGCGAAGCGCGGGCGGGGGAGGCGCCGGCGGCAGCCGCAGUCCCGCGGCGCGUCGGUCCUGGCCCUGCCCUUGCGGUCCCGGAAGGUCCGAAGGCACCGGAAAAGUGCGGCGUCCCGCGUGGCUGCGCUGAGAGCUCGCGCGCUCCUGAGCCGGGACUCGGACUCGAAGGUGGCAUCGGUCGGGGGCAAGCGGAAGGGUCCUGCAGAGCUGCUGGAGGCCUCGGGGGCGGCCGAGCCGCGGCCGGUGGCAGUGCGCCCGAGGCCGGCUUCGGCGACCCUGCCGCGCCGGGUGGAGGGCCGGGUCGCGCUCUCCCGGAACCUGGGGACACCGGCUCCGCCGCCGGGCUCGCACGUGGAUGACCCGGAGCGGCCCCGGGAUUCGCCGCUGCAGCAAGUGUUAGCGGAGCUGAACGGCAUCCCCAGCAGCCGGAGGCGCGCCGCCCGCCUCUUCGAGUGGCUCUUGGCGCCCCUGCCGCCGGACCACUUCUACCGGCGGCUGUGGGAGCGGGAGGCGGUGCUGGUGCGGCGGCAGGACCACAGCUACUACGAAGGUCUAUUCUCCACCGCCGACCUGGACUCGAUGCUGCGGGACGAGGACGUGCACUUCGGGCAGCAUCUGGACGCCGCGCGCUACAUCGACGGGCGGCGGGAGACCUUGAACCCACCGGGCCGCGCACUUCCCGCCGCCGCGUGGUCCUUGUACCAAGCCGGCUGCUCCUUACGUCUUCUUUGCCCGCAAGCUUUCUCGCCCACCGUGUGGCAGUUUCUGGCUGUGCUCCAGGAACAGUUUGGAAGCAUGGCAGGCUCCAACGCUUACCUCACGCCCCCCAACUCGCAGGGCUUUGCUCCUCACUACGACGACAUUGAGGCUUUCGUGUUGCAGCUGGAAGGUCGGAAACUCUGGCGCGUCUACCGACCGCGGGACCCAAGUGAGGAGUUGGCCCUGACAUCCAGUCCCAACUUCAGCCAGGAGGACCUUGGUGAGCCAGUGCUACAAACGGUACUGGAACCUGGAGACCUGCUCUAUUUUCCUCGGGGCUUCAUUCAUCAAGCUGAAUGUCAGGAUGGAGUCCACUCUCUGCACCUCACCUUGUCCACCUACCAGCGCAAUACAUGGGGUGACUUCCUGGAGGCUGUUGUCCCUCUGGCAGUGCAGGCAGCAAUAGAGGAAAAUGUGGAGUUCCGCAGGGGUCUUCCUCGGGACUUCAUGGAUUACAUGGGAGCCCAGCAUUCAGACUCUAAGGAUCCCAGAAGAACAGCUUUCAUGGAAAAGGUGCGGGUCUUGCUUGCUCGCCUGGGACACUUUGCUCCUGUCGAUGCUGUGGCUGACCAGAGAGCAAAAGACUUCAUUCACGAUUCCCUGCCCCCUGUGUUGACCGAUAGGGAAAGGGCUCUAAGUGUUCACGGGCUCCCAAUUCGCUGGGAGGCUGGAGAACCUGUAAAUGUGGGGGCCCAGCUGACAACAGAAACAGAAGUCCAUAUGCUUCAGGACGGCAUAGCGCGGCUGGUGGGUGAGGGAGGCCGCUUGUUCCUGUAUUACACAGUAGAAAACUCUCGGGUUUAUCAUCUGGAGGAACCCAAGUGCUUAGAAGUCUACCCCCAGCAGGCUGAUGCCAUGGAACUCUUACUUCGAUCCUACCCAGAGUUUGUGAGAAUAGGGGAUCUGCCCUGUGACGCUGUGGAAGACCAGCUUUCCUUGGCAACCAUGUUAUAUGAUAAGGGGCUGCUGCUCACCAAGACACCUCUAGUUCCGAGUUAGUUCUUGAGGAUGACUGGAAAGCCUGCGGUUGGGACUCUCCAGCACCACUGCCACCUUUUGUCUGUUUUUACAGAGGCCGUGUUCUUACCUUGCUGAGCGUCAGUAUGGUUACGUUUACCUUUAGGAUUUUCUCCGUGUUGCAAACCUCAGACCUGAAAAGAACCUCUUCAUCUAGGUACAAAAGGAAACACAGACAUUGAAACAGGGAGGGAAAAGCUAUUUGCAGCAGUAGCCCCGACCCCUGCCAUUUCAGAGCAUCAACUUCAAGGAAGUUGCUUCCUUGAGUUCUCUCUCAUCAGUUUGCGGGGCGAGCUGGGUUGGAUGAAACUUUCCCAAAUCUGGCAAGUGCAUGUUCUCAUGACUGGUGGAAAAGAGCCUGGUGCACCAGAAACAGCACUUGGAACCAGAAGACCUGGGUUUGGGGUGGUGGCUGGUAGGCCACUGGCCGAGUGAUCUGAGGCUGCUGCUUACAGAUUUUGUGUUUUACGGCCAGUUCCAUCUUCAGUAUUUUCUCCGUCAGUACGUCCUUUUGGUUUAGUGUUUGGAUCUAAGGGACAAAAUUUUAAAAGCAACCGACC